This 252-nucleotide ribosomal RNA is filed under the name uncultured bacterium. RNAcentral's name for it is "partial 16S ribosomal RNA". It matches the Rfam family "Bacterial small subunit ribosomal RNA", at positions 525 to 776 of the family's 1533-position model. The record is from RNAcentral.
ACGGAGGGAGCUAGCGUUGUUCGGAAUUACUGGGCGUAAAGCGUACGUAGGCGCCCUAUCAAGUCAGAGGUGAAAGCCCAGGGCUCAACCCUGGAAUUGCCUUUGAAACUAGUAGGGUUGAAGAUGGGAGAGGUGAGUGGAAUUCCGAGUGUAGAGGUGAAAUUCGUAGAUAUUCGGAAGAACACCAGUGGCGAAGGCGGCUCACUGGACCAUUCUUGACGCUGAGGUACGAAAGCGUGGGGAGCAAACAGG